Molecule: long non-coding RNA, 786 nt
Filed under: Apteryx rowi (Okarito brown kiwi)
Lineage: Eukaryota; Metazoa; Chordata; Aves; Apterygiformes; Apterygidae
Description: lncRNA (ENSARWG00000018606.1)
Source: RNAcentral
AAUGUUAAUAAGAAUGCAGAAAGAUGCAUAGGAGCAAACUCAAGUGACAGAAAUAAAGACACCUUGAGAAAUCAACUCAAUCCAAACAAGAGCAACAAAAUUGAACAUCUGGUUCUGAGUAUGUGUGGUUUGUACCUUCCUUACUGCCCACUGUUUCACUGUGGAUAGAUAUCACUGGGGGUGCUUCUUCCAGCCUGUCUGUUUUGGGGUCUGAUUCAAAACCAGCUUGGUUUGUAUCAGGCCCCUGAUGAAUCUCAGGAAUAUUGAAGCUGGCUGGCUUGACCAUUUAAGUCCCAAACUGAGUCCAGUGCUGUCAAUCAAGAAGGCCAAAGAAUGGAUGCUUCUUAUGAAUUUCAGUUCUAGAGUCUGAUGAGGACAUUGAGUCAAAAGAACAAAUUGCCAGGACUCAGAACCUUCUCUUUCUUAUAUAGCAACAUGGUGUGUGACAAGGAAAUAAGAUGUAUGUCUACAGCAACCCUCUCAGUUCAUUUCCCAAGAAUGGCCUGUAGAAUAAAAAUGAGACCCCGUAAGGCUUGCAGAAUAUUAACAGAGAUUUAGCCCGUGAGGAGCCAAGAAGAUUGAUACAGUUGUAGAACCUCAACUUAUGAUAGAAAAGUGUUUCACCUUCUACAGCAGUCGUAUUCAUCCUGAAGCUUAUUUGUCAGAAUAUGGAUUUUGGUAUUUAAAAUGGAAAAAAAAUUGAAAGAAUGGUAGAGAAAAAAACAAAUUAAUUACCUGUGCAAAAACCCAUGCACUGGAAUAAAAAAAUUAUUCAUGUCUUUCUCA